RNAcentral lists this ribosomal RNA (233 nucleotides) under uncultured bacterium. Its description in RNAcentral is "partial 16S ribosomal RNA". It matches the Rfam family "Bacterial small subunit ribosomal RNA", at positions 794 to 1024 of the family's 1533-position model. The record is from RNAcentral.
UCCAUGCCGUAAACGAUGGAUACUAGAUGUUCGGGGAACUAACCCCCUGAGUGUCGCAGCUAACGCAUUAAGUAUCCCGCCUGGGGAGUACGAUCGCAAGGUUGAAACUCAAAGGAAUUGACGGGGGCCCGCACAAGCGGUGGAGCAUGUGGAUUAAUUCGAUGCAACGCGAAGAACCUUACCUGGGCUUGAACCGCAGAUGAUCAUUAUAGAGAUAUAACUUCCGAGCAAUC